RNAcentral lists this microRNA precursor (61 nucleotides) under Pristionchus pacificus. RNAcentral's name for it is "mir-8364 microRNA precursor family". It matches the Rfam family "mir-8364 microRNA precursor family". Lineage: Eukaryota; Metazoa; Nematoda; Chromadorea; Rhabditida; Neodiplogasteridae. The record is from Rfam by way of RNAcentral.
UCUUCAUUUUCCACACUCUCUCGUCGUUCUGACCGUUGAGAGAGUGUGCAGAAUGAAGAGA